RNAcentral lists this ribosomal RNA (253 nucleotides) under uncultured bacterium. RNAcentral's name for it is "partial 16S ribosomal RNA". It matches the Rfam family "Bacterial small subunit ribosomal RNA", at positions 524 to 776 of the family's 1533-position model. The record is from RNAcentral.
UACAGAGGUCCCAAGCGUUGUUCGGAUUCACUGGGCGUAAAGGGUGCGUAGGUGGCGAGGUAAGUCGGAUGUGAAAUCUCGGAGCUCAACUCCGAAACUGCAUUGGAAACUACCUUGCUCGAGGGUUGGAGGGGGGACUGGAAUUCUCGGUGUAGCAGUGAAAUGCGUAGAUAUCGAGAGGAACACCAGUGGCGAAGGCGAGUCCCUGGACAACUCCUGACACUGAGGCACGAAAGCUAGGGGAGCAAACAGG